RNAcentral lists this ribosomal RNA (327 nucleotides) under uncultured eukaryote. Its description in RNAcentral is "partial 18S ribosomal RNA". It matches the Rfam family "Eukaryotic small subunit ribosomal RNA", at positions 1470 to 1796 of the family's 1831-position model. The record is from RNAcentral.
CCCUUAGAUGUUCUGGGCCGCACGCGCGCUACACUGAUUCAUGCAACGAGUUUUGUCCUUGGCUGAAAGGCCUGGGUAAUCUUUGAACGUGAAUCGUGCUGGGGAUAGAUGAUUGCAAUUAUUCAUCUUCAACGAGGAAUUCCUAGUAAACGCAAGUCAUCAGCUUGCAUUGAUUACGUCCCUGCCCUUUGUACACACCGCCCGUCGCUCCUACCGAUUGAAUGGUCCGGUGAAGCGUUCGGACCGUGGCCUUUGGACGGUUCGCCGUCUGUUGGCUGCGGGAAGUUCGUUAAACCUUAUCAUUUAGAGGAAGGAGAAGUCGUAACA